UUUUGGGCAAUGGGCGAAAGCCUGACCCAGCAACGCCGCGUGAGGGAUGAAGUAUUUCGGUAUGUAAACCUCGAAAGAAUGGGAAGAAUAAAUGACGGUACCAUUUAUAAGCUCCGGCUAACUACGUGCCAGCAGCCGCGGUAAUACGUAAGGAGCAAGCGUUGUUAGGAUUUACUGGGCGUAAAGGGCGCGUAGGCGGCGCGGUAAGUCACUUGUGAAAUCUCUGAGCUUAACUCAGAACGGCCAAGUGAUACUGCUGUGCUAGAGUGCGGAAGAGGCAACCGGAAUUAUUGGUGUAGCGGUGAAAUGCGUAGAUAUCAAGAGGAACACCUGAGGCGAAGGCGGGUUGCUGGGCCGACACUGACGCUGAUGCGCGAAAGCCAGGGGAGCAAACG
RNAcentral lists this ribosomal RNA (395 nucleotides) under uncultured bacterium. Its description in RNAcentral is "bacterial SSU rRNA". It matches the Rfam family "Bacterial small subunit ribosomal RNA", at positions 362 to 774 of the family's 1533-position model. The record is from RNAcentral.